RNAcentral lists this ribosomal RNA (253 nucleotides) under uncultured bacterium. Its description in RNAcentral is "partial 16S ribosomal RNA". It matches the Rfam family "Bacterial small subunit ribosomal RNA", at positions 524 to 776 of the family's 1533-position model. The record is from RNAcentral.
UACGUAGGGUGCGAGCGUUGUCCGGAAUUACUGGGCGUAAAGGGCGCGUAGGCGGCCUUCUAAGUCGAACGUGAAAUCCCCGGGCUCAACCCGGGAACUGCGUCCGAUACUGGAAGGCUUGAAUCCGGGAGAGGGAUGCGGAAUUCCAGGUGUAGCGGUGAAAUGCGUAGAUAUCUGGAGGAACACCGGUGGCGAAGGCGGCAUCCUGGACCGGUAUUGACGCUGAGGAGCGAAAGCGUGGGGAGCGAACAGG